UGCAUGUGUCAGUACAAACUAAAUUAGAGUGAAACCGCGAAUGGCUCAUUAAAUCAGCUAUGAUUCAUUGGAUCUGUACACCCAGUUUUCCUUGGAUAACUGUGGUAAUUCUAGAGCUAAUACAUGCACAUAUAGUCCCUAUACCUCUUCUCUUCUCUUGUCUAAUGAUGAGAGAGAGAGAGGGAAGGGCGCUUUUAUUAGUAUCAAAACCGGUCGGGCUUCGGUCUGUUAACCUAUUUGAUGACUCUGGAUAACUUUUAGCUGAGCGCACGGUCUUUUGCACCGGCGCCGCUUCUUUCAAGUGUCUGCCUUAUCAGCUUUCGAUUGUAUGUUAUGUGCCUACAAUGGCUAUAACGGGUAACGGGGAAUCAGGGUUCGAUUCCGGAGAGGGAGCCUGAGAAACGGCUACCACAUCUAAGGAAGGCAGCAGGCACGCAAAUUACCCACUCCCGGUACGGGGAGGUAGUGACGAAAAAUAACGAUGCGAGACUCAUCCGAGGCUUCGCAAUCGGAAUGAGUACACUUUAAAUCCUUUAACGAGGAUCAAUUGGAGGGCAAGUCUGGUGCCAGCAGCCGCGGUAAUUCCAGCUCCAAUGGCGUAUAUUAAAGUUGUUGCGGUUAAAAAGCUCGUAGUUGGAUUUCAGUAUUGGACUGAUGAGUUUUUUCACCUUCUGGUGAUUAAACAGAAUCAAGCUUCAAAACCUGCUAUCACAAUAAUUACAUUGUGUAUUGCUCAACUAGCACACACGGGGUGCUCUUAAUCGAGUGUCCCGAGUGGCUGGUAUGUUUACUUUGAAAAAAUUAGAGUGCUCAGAGCAGGCUACAAAUGGCCUGAAUGUCUAUGCAUGGAAUAAUAUAAGAGGACCUCGGUUUUAUGUUUUACCGCGUUUCUUUUGGAAACCGAAGGUAUGAUAUAGACAGUGAGGUAUUAGUACUGCGACGCUGAGUGAAUCUGACAGAUGCAUUCAUUAAUCAAGAACGAAAGUUAGAGGUUCGAAGGCGAUCAGAUACCGCCCUAGUUCUAACCAUAAACGAUGCUAACCAGCGAUCCGCCGUAGUUAUUCCCAUGACUCGGCGGGCAGCUUCUGGGAAACCAAAGUCUUUGAGUUCCGGGGGAAGUAUGGUUGCAAAUCUGAAACUUAAAGGAAUUGACGGAAGGGCACCACCAGGAGUGGAGCCUGCGGCUUAAUUUGACUCAACACGGGAAACCUCACCAGGCCCAGACACUGGAAGGAUUGACAGAUUGAGAGCUCUUUCUCGAUUCAGUGGGUGGUGGUGCAUGGCCGUUCUUAGUUGGUGGAGCGAUUUGUCUGGUUAAUUCCGAUAACGAACGAGACUCUGGCCUAUUAACUAGUCGACGGAUUUCCAAACCAUGCAAUUGGUGUCCAGUUCGCAACAUUAUCUUCUUAGAGGGAUAAGCGGUAGUCCUAGCCGCACGAGAAUGAGCAAUAACAGGUCUGUGAUGCCCUUAGAUGUUCUGGGCCGCACGCGCGCUACACUGAAGGGAUCAGAAUGUUUUCCCCCUCCGAAAGGAGCGGGUAACCCGAUGAAACCCCUUCGUGAUAGGGAUUGGGGCUUGUAAUUAUUUCCCAUGAACGAGGAAUUCCCAGUAAGCGCAGAUCAAGAGUUUGCGUUGAUUACGUCCCUGCCCUUUGUACACACCGCCCGUCGCUACUACCGAUUGAAUGAUUUAGUGAGGCCUUCGGACUGUCGCUCUUGGAUAUCUUGGCUUAAUGCUAGUUCCUAGAGCUGACGGAAAGAUGUCCAAACUUGAUCAUUUAGAGGAAGUAAAAGUCGUAACAAGGUUUCC
Molecule: ribosomal RNA, 1810 nt
Filed under: Gonionida julumunyju
Lineage: Eukaryota; Metazoa; Arthropoda; Malacostraca; Decapoda; Munididae
Description: SSU rRNA
Rfam family: Eukaryotic small subunit ribosomal RNA
Source: RNAcentral